This 500-nucleotide ribosomal RNA is filed under the name Desmodora communis. RNAcentral's name for it is "SSU rRNA". It matches the Rfam family "Eukaryotic small subunit ribosomal RNA", at positions 93 to 593 of the family's 1831-position model. The record is from RNAcentral. Lineage: Eukaryota; Metazoa; Nematoda; Chromadorea; Desmodorida; Desmodoridae.
AUGGCUCAUUACAACAGCCGUUGUUUCUUGGAUCUUGAUUUACUUGGAUAACUGCUGGUAAUUCUAGAGCUAAUACAUGCAACACAGCUCCGACCGCACGGAAGGAGCGCAUUUAUUAGACCAAGACCAAUCAGGCCUCGGCCUGGAAUCUGGUGACUCUGAAUAACUUUGCUGAUCACACGGUCCUAGCACCGGUGACAUAUCUUUCAAGUGUCUGCCCUAUCAACUUUCGAUGGUAGUUUAUGUGCCUACCAUGGUUGUAACGGGUAACGGAGAAUAAGGGUUCGACUCCGGAGAGGGAGCCUGAGAAAUGGCUACCACAUCCAAGGAAGGCAGCAGGCGCGCAAAUUACCCACUCUCAGCUCGAGGAGGUAGUGACGAAAAAUAACGAGACGGUUCUCUAUGAGGCCCGUCAUCGGAAUGGGUACAAUUUAAACCCUUUAACGAGGAUCUAUUGGAGGGCAAGUCUGGUGCCAGCAGCCGCGGUAAUUCCAGCUCCA